This 233-nucleotide long non-coding RNA is filed under the name Elaeis guineensis (African oil palm). RNAcentral's name for it is "long non-coding RNA (EGUI_LNC067067)". The record is from RNAcentral. Lineage: Eukaryota; Viridiplantae; Streptophyta; Magnoliopsida; Arecales; Arecaceae.
CUGGUAUCCAUAUAGAGAUGUCUGAUUAGAGCAUCGAGAUCAUCGGUGUGCUAGCACCUUGCAGAUCUCGCUCCUCAGCUUUAGAUCUGCAUCUCUUCUUCUAGAUCUCGAAGAAGAUGAUCGCUGCACGAACUCUUUCACACAGAUCUGACAGAAUCUGAAUCAGAUCACCAAGAAGGGAAGAAGAAUCUUUCUUCUUCUCUUGUUCUCUCUUAGAUCUGAUCACCAUCAGA